AACGAACGCUGGCGGCAUGCCUAACACAUGCAAGUCGAACGCCUUGGCUUCGGCCAGGGAGUGGCGCACGGGUGAGUAACGCGUGGGAACCUGCCCGGCAGUACGGGACAACCGCGGGAAACUGCGGCUAAUACCGUAUACGGCCUGAGGGCGAAAGAAUUUCGCUGUCGGAGGGGCCCGCGUCGGAUUAGGUAGUUGGUGGGGUAACGGCCUACCAAGCCUGCGAUCCGUAGCUGGUCUGAGAGGAUGAUCAGCCACACUGGGACUGAGACACGGCCCAGACUCCUACGGGAGGCAGCAGUGGGGAAUAUUGGACAAUGGGCGCAAGCCUGAUCCAGCAAUGCCGCGUGAGUGAUGAAGGCCUUAGGGUUGUAAAGCUCUUUCGCCCGCGACGAUGAUGACGGUAGCGGGAGAAGAAGCCCCGGCUAACUCCGUGCCAGCAGCCGCGGUAAUACGGAGGGGGCUAGCGUUGUUCGGAAUUACUGGGCGUAAAGGGCGCGCA
This 502-nucleotide ribosomal RNA is filed under the name uncultured bacterium. RNAcentral's name for it is "bacterial SSU rRNA". It matches the Rfam family "Bacterial small subunit ribosomal RNA", at positions 28 to 573 of the family's 1533-position model. The record is from RNAcentral.